Vicugna pacos (alpaca) is the source of this 3228-nucleotide non-coding RNA. The record is from RefSeq and is a predicted model, not a curated record. NCBI's taxonomy places the organism in Eukaryota, Metazoa, Chordata, Mammalia, Artiodactyla, Camelidae.
UGGGUGGUCCGCUCUUGCGGUUAGGGACAGGAUCCUCUGCAAGCUGAACCUGGAGAGCCGCGGGUCUCGUCGUCUGUCGUAAUAGCUAACUUUAUAGAGUACUGAGCAAUGGAAAUGUACUGGCACACAGUGGAGCAGUUCUUUCUCAGGCUGGUAACAUUACAGAACUCCUGUUGAAAAGCAAGCUGGACGGGUGGAAACCGGAUUCCCAUAUCCUCUCAUAAGCUGUUUGUCAAGAUGAAGAAACUGAAGACUAGUGAGCUAAGGAACAUCCCUAGAGCCACAAAGUGGCAGAACAGGAUAAGAACCCAUCACUUUUUACUUCUACUUCAGUGCUUUCUCCUCUUCCAUCUGGGCAGAUGACUGUCAGUCUCUCCAGGUUAGUAGCCCUGGUUGCCACCAAAGCUAUACUCUGUAAGUUAAUAGGGUAGCAUAUUAUCAAGAAGGGGAACCCUCUAUCUAGUCUUUAUUUAUUGUGAAUAUUGUCUGUAAAGUGCUUAACAUAGUGAUUAGUACAUAGAAGGGCCUUAAUGAGAGACAGUUACUCUUACCUAUCGUCUGCUUUCUUUCAGAAGCAUCUCUUGAUGCCCUUUGCUUUCUUUCCCUGCUCUCCAUGCCCCUGGCUGGAUACUGUCAUCUCUCAUGUAUGAUCUGGUACAUUUUCUGUAUCUCUAUUACAGCACAUAAUCACACUGUAUUAUGUUUUUUUCAUGUGCUUUUCUACUACCUCAGUCCUUGGGUGCUUUGGUUUCAGGGAUUAUUUUAAUUUUAUUUCCAAUCUCUCUAGCACAGGGCCUGGCCCAAGGUAGAUGCCGAAUAAAUGCUAAUAGAAUGGAAUUGAAAUUCAGCUGCAUAGUUGCAAGAAACAUUCAAUCACAUUCUGAUUUGACCCCCUAUAGUAAUCAUCCUGAGAAGCAAGUAUUAUUGUUAAUAUCAUUAUAUAUGUAUUAAAAAUAAACAGAAGCUCAGUAUCCUGAAAAUUUCUUUCAGACUGGUGUUACUCAGGUGAUGUUUGCCCCGUUUUCCAUCGAAGAGUUGAUUGUGAUUCUCUGUUUUUCUUUAUAAUUUAUGCAAGGCUUAUUCCGUGACAGCAGAGUCUAACCCUUAUGUAGACCUCUAUCCCCAGCAUGGGGGUUGGCUCUAUCCCCAGCGUGAGGUGGUAGACACUCAGUAAUUAUUGAUCUGAAUGUAACUGUCACUUCUAUAUGUUAGAAAUUGUGUUUGUUACCAGUUUAGGAAAAGAUUUUAAAAGUUGCUCAUGACUAAGUCAACUUUCACUCCACCUGAAUAUUAACCAGAUGUACUCACUGUUUUAUCAGAGAUCAGAUGCUGAGAGAGAGAGAGAGAAAGAGGGAGAGAGACUAACUGGGACUGUCUCGUAGCUUUGAGAAAAGGACAUGGGAAAUUGCUGUGUAACCAGAUCCUGCCUGAGACAGAAUUCUUUCUUUGUGCUAACACCAGAGAAUGCAGGGCUGUCAUGUGAGGAGCAGUUAUAAUCUUUGUGUAUCAGGUAAGGCAGUACAGAGAGGACUCAGGUUCAAGGAAAGGAGGUAUUGGAAGGGGCCAAGUGAUUGAAAUCAACAAAGGGAACAGGCCAAGAAAUAUGAGAAAGGGAGAGGAAGGAAGGCUGAGACGGAGUUCUGCAGAUAGCGCUUACAAGAGAGUAAGGAAUGCAAAGUGAGCUGCAGUGAAGGAGCCACCAGACACCAUCUGUGCUCCCCCGCCUCCUCCUCCUGAGACACUUUCUUCUGAAAAGGAUCGUCAUCAUCAAACCCCAAACACCACUGCAGUAUUUUGUGGUGGUGUUGCUUUUAAAAUGUGGACUAUCAUUUUAUUUUAAGAAUUUGAUUAGUCUAUGAUAACAUUCUGGUCCUUUGUAAAACUAAAAUCUAAGUCAUCCUGUCAAGAGAGAUGAUAAGUUGAGAAGCUAGGGUAUUUUUUCCCCAAUCAUCAUGGUUGCUGAUUUUGGUAGCGAGUUGCCCACAUGCAAGGAACGUUUCCUGGUAUUAGCAGUGGGUUCCAAGUUAUGUUCUCAGCUAAUAUGAUUUUCUGGCCUAGAGUCAUUUGUGUCUGAAUAAAAAUGAUGGCUAUAGUCAUAAUUCCUCAUAUUCUCCUCAGAACAAGUUCCCUUUGUUCAUGAGUCUGUUAUUAUUGAAGAAGUAUUUAGUUGUAGGUAAAUGACCCUUGCCUCCUGCCUUUAAUUGAAACUCAGCCUGCCACAGUUAAUGUGUUUCAUGACUCAAUAAAUCCCGGAAGAAAAACCUAAUGUGCUAUAAAAGCAAAGGAAAAAAAUGAAUUGGUUUCAGCAUACAUUUUCCUUUGUAAACAGUUUCUUGCUGUCAUGUAGAAAGAGCUCUCUUGACAUUCUUUUUUGCAUAAUCUUCCACACUUUGUUACCAGUAUCUGUUCAGUGGUACACAGUUCUGUUUUCAGAAGAAGAACCCUUUGGUCUGUUCGGAAGGGGGAGGGGGUGAGAUCUACAGUCAGGCUUGUCCUAAUCAACUGCUUGAGCCUGCUCUUCUAUGACUCAGGGAGGCCUGGGAGACUUCAGCUUUUCUAGAAACAAGAGGCAGGGGUUGGGGGUGCCCACAGGGUCCUGCUCCCUUUCACCACCACAGUCAGGAUAUGAAACAGUUUCAUCAGACCCCAGUACUCCCUUGUGCUAUCCCUUUGUAGUCACACCCCCUACCCCCCAGCUCCUGGCAACCACUGACAUGUUCUUCCCCCAGAUAGUUUCCUUUUUCACAAAACAGUCAUAUAAAUGGAAUUAUACUGGCUUUGAGACUGGCUUCUUUCACUCAGGUGAUACCUUUGAGAUUCAUCCAUGUUGUAUGUAUCAAGAGUUCGGUCUUUUUCAUUGCUAUGGUAUGAGUGUCCCACAGUUUGUUUAUCCUGUUGAAGGACAUUUGAGUUGUUUCCAGCCUUUGGGGAUUAUGAAUAGAGCUGCGAUAAACAUUCAUGUACAGGUAUUUGUGUGAACAUAAAUGUUGACUUCUCUGAGGUGAAUAUCCAGAAAUGGGAUUGCUGAGCCAUAUGGUAAGUGGAUACAAGCAAACUCUUUUUAUGUGUGUAACACCUAUUAAACAUCCACAGAACCAGUGUUUUACAGAAUGUGCUAUUAAUGUCUGACAGUCCUAGUAUUUCACAGAAUACACUUGGGAAAUAAAGCUUUGGGAAGGCUUCGAAUGUCACGUGACAGUGCUGUAUUUGAGAGUCAAAUUGACCUCC